This 2326-nucleotide ribosomal RNA is filed under the name Salmonella enterica subsp. enterica serovar Typhimurium. RNAcentral describes it as "partial 23S ribosomal RNA". It matches the Rfam family "Bacterial large subunit ribosomal RNA", at positions 711 to 2925 of the family's 2925-position model. Lineage: Bacteria; Pseudomonadati; Pseudomonadota; Gammaproteobacteria; Enterobacterales; Enterobacteriaceae. The record is from RNAcentral.
AGACCCGAAACCCGGUGAUCUAGCCAUGGGCAGGUUGAAGGUUGGGUAACACUAACUGGAGGACCGAACCGACUAAUGUUGAAAAAUUAGCGGAUGACCUGUGGCUGGGGGUGAAAGGCCAAUCAAACCGGGAGAUAGCUGGUUCUCCCCGAAAGCUAUUUAGGUAGCGCCUCGUGAAUUCAUCUCCGGGGGUAGAGCACUGUUUCGGCUAGGGGGCCAUCCCGGCUUACCAACCCGAUGCAAACUGCGAAUACCGGAGAAUGUUAUCACGGGAGACACACGGCGGGUGCUAACGUCCGUCGUGAAGAGGGAAACAACCCAGACCGCCAGCUAAGGUCCCAAAGUCAUGGUUAAGUGGGAAACGAUGUGGGAAGGCCCAGACAGCCAGGAUGUUGGCUUAGAAGCAGCCAUCAUUUAAAGAAAGCGUAAUAGCUCACUGGUCGAGUCGGCCUGCGCGGAAGAUGUAACGGGGCUAAACCAUGCACCGAAGCUGCGGCAGCGAACGUAUCACCCAAGACAACUUUACGGAGUUGACGAUUGACGGAGCGAAGCGACGUCAAAGCGUUCAUUAAAGUCGAGUUGGCUUAGGGAUACGUUCGUUGGGUAGGGGAGCGUUCUGUAAGCCUGUGAAGGUGUGUCGUGAGGCAUGCUGGAGGUAUCAGAAGUGCGAAUGCUGACAUAAGUAACGAUAAAGCGGGUGAAAAGCCCGCUCGCCGGAAGACCAAGGGUUCCUGUCCAACGUUAAUCGGGGCAGGGUGAGUCGACCCCUAAGGCGAGGCCGAAAGGCGUAGUCGAUGGGAAACGGGUUAAUAUUCCCGUACUUGGUGUUACUGCGAAGGGGGGACGGAGAAGGCUAUGUUGGCCGGGCGACGGUUGUCCCGGUUUAAGCGUGUAGGUGUGUGUUCCAGGUAAAUCCGGUUCACUUUAACACUGAGGCGUGAUGACGAGGCACUACGGUGCUGAAGCAACAAAUGCCCUGCUUCCAGGAAAAGCCUCUAAGCAUCAGGUAACAUCAAAUCGUACCCCAAACCGACACAGGUGGUCAGGUAGAGAAUACCAAGGCGCUUGAGAGAACUCGGGUGAAGGAACUAGGCAAAAUGGUGCCGUAACUUCGGGAGAAGGCACGCUGACACGUAGGUGAAGUGAUUUACUCACGGAGCUGAAGUCAGUCGAAGAUACCAGCUGGCUGCAACUGUUUAUUAAAAACACAGCACUGUGCAAACACGAAAGUGGACGUAUACGGUGUGACGCCUGCCCGGUGCCGGAAGGUUAAUUGAUGGGGUCAGCGCAAGCGAAGCUCCUGAUCGAAGCCCCGGUAAACGGCGGCCGUAACUAUAACGGUCCUAAGGUAGCGAAAUUCCUUGUCGGGUAAGUUCCGACCUGCACGAAUGGCGUAAUGAUGGCCAGGCUGUCUCCACCCGAGACUCAGUGAAAUUGAACUCGCUGUGAAGAUGCAGUGUACCCGCGGCAAGACGGAAAGACCCCGUGAACCUUUACUAUAGCUUGACACUGAACAUUGAGCCUUGAUGUGUAGGAUAGGUGGGAGGCUUUGAAGUGUGGACGCCAGUCUGCAUGGAGCCGACCUUGAAAUACCACCCUUUAAUGUUUGAUGUUCUAACGUGGACCCGUAAUCCGGGUUGCGGACAGUGUCUGGUGGGUAGUUUGACUGGGGCGGUCUCCUCCUAAAGAGUAACGGAGGAGCACGAAGGUUGGCUAAUCCUGGUCGGACAUCAGGAGGUUAGUGCAAUGGCAUAAGCCAGCUUGACUGCGAGCGUGACGGCGCGAGCAGGUGCGAAAGCAGGUCAUAGUGAUCCGGUGGUUCUGAAUGGAAGGGCCAUCGCUCAACGGAUAAAAGGUACUCCGGGGAUAACAGGCUGAUACCGCCCAAGAGUUCAUAUCGACGGCGGUGUUUGGCACCUCGAUGUCGGCUCAUCACAUCCUGGGGCUGAAGUAGGUCCCAAGGGUAUGGCUGUUCGCCAUUUAAAGUGGUACGCGAGCUGGGUUUAGAACGUCGUGAGACAGUUCGGUCCCUAUCUGCCGUGGGCGCUGGAGAACUGAGGGGGGCUGCUCCUAGUACGAGAGGACCGGAGUGGACGCAUCACUGGUGUUCGGGUUGUCAUGCCAAUGGCACUGCCCGGUAGCUAAAUGCGGAAGAGAUAAGUGCUGAAAGCAUCUAAGCACGAAACUUGCCCCGAGAUGAGUUCUCCCUGAGACUUAGAGUCUCCUGAAGGAACGUUGAAGACGACGACGUUGAUAGGCCGGGUGUGUAAGCGCAGCGAUGCGUUGAGCUAACCGGUACUAAUGAACCGUGAGGCUUAACCUUACA